Molecule: ribosomal RNA, 207 nt
Filed under: uncultured Acidobacteriota bacterium
Lineage: Bacteria; Pseudomonadati; Acidobacteriota
Description: uncultured Acidobacteria bacterium partial 16S ribosomal RNA
Rfam family: Bacterial small subunit ribosomal RNA
Source: RNAcentral
UAUGUAGGCGGUUCUCCAAGUCUGGUGUGAAAUCUCCCGGCUCAACCGGGAGGGUGCAUUGGAAACUGGGGGGCUGGAGUGCGGGAGAGGGAAGCGGAAUUCCUGGUGUAGCGGUGAAAUGCGUAGAUAUCAGGAGGAACACCCGCGGUGUAGACGGCUUCCUGGACCGUAACUGACGCUGAGACACGAAAGCGUGGGGAGCAAACA